UAAUUAAAUAAUGCAAUAUUUUUGUACAUUUUCUGAAAGUUUAGGACACUAAAAAAAAAGAUAAAUAAUUAACAACUCAUGUACGAUAAUAUGCUUCUCAACGGAGGGUUAAGUAUUUGUCUUUUCUAUUCAGUCUUUGCUCUUUCAAUAUUGCUCUCUGUUCAAUGUUACUCUGUUAUUUGACUCUUCCUAUUCUACUAGUAAUACCGUCGUACUUUCCAAUUGAAAGUUGCUACACUUCUGCUUCCUCUUUACGUGAAAAUGGCCGCGUUUUAAAUAUUGCUCGACAUCGAUAUCGAGUCAAUUUUUUCGUGUAUGAUCAUUCGUCCGUCCGUGCGUUCGUCAGAUUCAUUUGUCGAUUCGUAUCUGUCGUUUUUCUUCCUCGAUACGUAGCAUAGCAUAUAUAUACGUGGAUAAUUAUUUUUUAGUCGAAGUGAUUGCUCCCUUGAUUCUGAUCACGCACAUAUACAUUUUCUGUAUGUACAUGUGUAUGUCGAUCUUUUUCAAACGGUCCUAUUUGAAAUCGGGGAAAUUAAUUUUACAGCAACGCAACGUUUUUUGAAAGAUUUUUCUGAUUAACGCGUCGGUGAACAGCGAAUUAGCGUAUCGAGAUACGAAAGAUGUUAAGAAAGAAUAACAUAACACACAGUAGAGUCUUCUGUAUUCAAACAGAAAGACAAAAGUGUUCGUUUAAUCGAGUUUUUUCACCCUUGUCAUUAAAUUAUGACAUGUUACUUUAAUACAGUUGGAAAUUAAAAUACUCUUUUCGUAAUAUAUGAAUUUCUGUUAUAUCGAAUCUAAUGAAAUAACUCUGUUUAUGCUUCAAGCUCUCAUCAUUUUCAUUUGUUUCACUUUGUGAAAAAAUCAUAAAUGAUUUAUCAUUGGAAUUAAAUCUUUUUAGUAAAAUCUUGUAUCAUAUUUUGCAAUUGCGAAAAACAACGUAAAUUAAUUCAGUGCAAGCAAAGCUGGUUAAUAAACAUUUUGUUCGAAUAACGGAAUGUUCGGACAUGAGAUUAUUCGGAUAACGAGAGUUUGGAUAUGACGAUUUCUAUUUCGAUUUUUCUCUUUUCUUUUGAACGAUCGUUUACCUGUGGCCUAACGCGUUUCACGAAAGUCAUGAAAGUACGUUUUAAAUUAAAUUCAAUCCGUCUCUUACGAAAGAAGAUCUCUCUAUUGAGUCUGCAAUAUUUGGAGGAACUAGUACGAAGCGCUUUAUUGAUCAGACGAGUAGAAUUAGCAUAUAAUAGCUCAGACGCGACACGACGGGACGCGAAAGCCUCGUUUCCUUCCAGACGAAAAUCAUAAAUAAUACGAGAGAGAAUCGUAUAAACGUCGACUUAACUAGCCGUGUCCGAAUCGAAAUUUACAAUCCACCGUUGUUUUCCUCGCCUGGCUAUCCGCACCAUUCGUCUUCGCUAUCUACCGGCCUUUUUACCGAGAACUUUUUUACCGAGAAAUUUAUUCGACAAGUUAAAUACGUUGUUUCUUACGCGCAUUCCUUUCUCGCACUAUUAUCUCUUUUCUUUCACCUUUCAACGUCCUGAUAAAAUACGAAACGGUAAAAGUCGUUGUUAUCUCUAAGCGAAAUUAAACGUUUGUCGGACGAAAUGGAUCGUAGGUGAGGGAGAAGCGAGUUAAGCGUAUUUUCAUUAAUCCAUUAAGGAGCAAGCAGUAAUUUAUAUCAUAAUGUUACAAACAUCUCAAUUUUGUUUGAAUUUCGUAAAAUUAAAGGAACCAAGCGGAGGACAUAAUGACAAAGACUUUGGACUUUCUUUUGUACAGUUCGAAUAUUAAAGAAGUAGAAUUUGAUAAUAUAAUCUGAUUUAAAAGAGUAGCAAAUGAAGUUGGUUCUUAAUGGGUUAAAAAAAUUGUCGGUUGCAACUAGAAGAAAGUUUGUUCUCGAACGAAUUAUGUAUGAUUCGCGUGUGCGUGAAUCGAGGCUACGUAAAAGAUAAAAAAUGAAAGCAAAGAAUUGGUUUGAAGAGAGCAAGAGAGAGAGAGAGAGAGAGAGAGAGACGCGGUGUCGUUUCAUCGUAACAUCGAGAAACGACGACACGUAGUGAUUUACCUUACGUAAACGGGUAGCAAUCAAGACUCAUAGAAACCGCCGUAGCAUUUUAUACUAUAUGUACGUAACAGGAACGUGAUAACGCGAUUAACGUAGAAACGCAGAGUCGUAUAAUAAUUUGUAAGCCGUAGAUGUAAUAUUUCGAAGUUAAGCGAACGAUCAACGAACGAUAGACGCGUACGCGUUUUCGAGCGAAAAAGUGUCCUCGACCGUCAGCGUGAUCGAGAAUUUGACUUUGUCUAUUGAAUAUUGAAUUGAAAGUAUGAGCGGCGCGCUCCCAGACAACGAAAAACGAAAAUAAAUGUCGAGAUGAUGUGUCGACACGCGUGAGAGGACGAAGACGCGAUG
Long non-coding RNA from Frieseomelitta varia, 2416 nucleotides. RefSeq lists it as uncharacterized. The record is from RefSeq and is a predicted model, not a curated record. NCBI's taxonomy places the organism in Eukaryota, Metazoa, Arthropoda, Insecta, Hymenoptera, Apidae. The transcript is spliced from 2 exons.